AAUUGGAGGGCAAGUCUGGUGCCAGCAGCCGCGGUAAUUCCAGCUCCAAUAGCGUAUAUUAAAGUUGUUGCAGUUAAAAAGCUCGUAGUUGAAUUUCGGGAUCAAUAUUUCGGUCAUGCCGUUGGUAUGCACUGUUAUCAUUGAUUUCUCACCUUCUAAAGAACCGUAAUGCCAUUAAUUUGGUGUUACGGGGAAUUAGGACUGUUACCUUGAAAAAAUUAGAGUGUUUAAAGCAGGCUCACGCUUGAAUACAUUAGCAUGGAAUAAUGAAAUAGGACAUCCGAUUCUAUUUUGUUGGUUUCUAGGAUCGAUGUAAUGAUUAAUAGGGAUAGUUGGGGGCAUUAGUAUUCAAUUGUCAGAGGUGAAAUUCUUGGAUUUAUUGAAGACUAACUACUGCGAAAGCAUUUGCCAAGGAUGUCUUCAUUAAUCAAGAACGAAAGUUAGGGGAUCGAAGACGAUCAGAUACCGUCGUAGUCUUAACCAUAAACUAUGCCGACUAGGGAUCGGAUGAUGUUAAUUUUUUAAUGACUCAUUCGGCGCCUUACGGGAAACCAAAGUGU
RNAcentral lists this ribosomal RNA (560 nucleotides) under uncultured Glomus. Its description in RNAcentral is "SSU rRNA". It matches the Rfam family "Eukaryotic small subunit ribosomal RNA", at positions 546 to 1106 of the family's 1831-position model. Lineage: Eukaryota; Fungi; Glomeromycota; Glomeromycetes; Glomerales; Glomeraceae. The record is from RNAcentral.